Molecule: long non-coding RNA, 1489 nt
Filed under: Equus asinus (donkey)
Lineage: Eukaryota; Metazoa; Chordata; Mammalia; Perissodactyla; Equidae
Description: lncRNA (ENSEASG00005026778.1)
Source: RNAcentral
GUUUCAUGAUCGUGGGAGCUGCGUAAGCAGCGGUUGUCCGUCUGUUGCGUCUGAAUCUGAUGCAAGGCCUGAGGUCAGCAGGGCUAGCACUUGUUAAGGAAAGAUGGACACGGUUUGAGAGAAAGUAAAGACAAAAUAGAACCCAUGAGAAUAAACUGAAACCUACAUCUGUCUUUAGAACACACAUUGGUCUCUAGUCACCUCCAGGGCUUCAACUUGGAUGAUGCAAGUGACCUGCAGAAAAGCGUGCGCAAUCCGUCAUGGAACCAAAUAGGAACUGAGCUCAGGACUUUACGAAACUGAAGGAAGACGUCCGCAGGAGCUACAGGAGCUGCGGGUCCAGCAGCUGACCCUCGCCAGCAAUGUGGGCCAGCAUAUCAGCAACUGCAUAUAUAAGCUGCAAAAUUAUCCCCCCCACGUUGACCUGUGUAAGAGCAUAUGCUUACUGCGUGAGUUCCACAAGGUGUUUUGUAACUCAGAAAAUCUCAGUCAGGAACUACUAAUCAAAUGCCAGUUUAUAUCCAACUCCUCAACAGAUCACCAGAACUUCACUCACAAAAGUCACCAGAGAGUUCCACGUGGACAAAGAUAAUGGACAUCUUCCUGUAUAAUCUUACAUCAACUUUCAGUGGCCUUUCACUACUGCCAACCCACAUGCUCCUUUAUCAUCAGGGGCCUUUGAUAGGCUGACCAUGUCCUUCUGGAAACUUGCCUGCUUGGCCUUUGUCGAACCACAUGUCUGACCAUCACUUCUCAGGCUGCACAGCUGACUCAUCUGCCUGGCUUUCCACGCUUAAGUCCAGCAUUUUUGAAGCAUUUGUGCUACAUGUGGUGCAAUUACCAAAUGGUUGAAAGGAUUCAUUGAGUUGACUCAUCACCUUUCCAGUGGUUGCAGUAUGAUGUUGCUGAGAAAUAAUAAGACCUUACAGGAGGAUGCUAAUAUUAUCCUGGUUAAGAGCAAAUUCUCCUAAGAAAAUAUCACAAAAAUAUUUCAGAGAAUACACCAGACAAAGAUCAUCUUCUCUUCUCAAACAAGAAUAUGUUAAUAGAAAACCCCAGCAUAGUAAUAUGUGAAAAGAAUUCACAUAUAGAAUUAAACUAUAAAGCCUUGCUUGUGACUGCAUACAUCCUCACACCGAGUCAGAUGGGAAGAACCAACAAUUUAUGCUGUGCAGAAAAGACCUCUAGAGAAAAGUGAUCAACAGGAAAUAACACAAUAAUUUGCCUUUGAAUUCUCAAAGUAAAAUCUAUUUAUCUUCUCCAUGUGGAACGGCCUACUCUCAGCAUCUUUGCAUUCAGCUGUGUUGAGUUGGGGAGGAGAAAACUAGCAGGAAAAUUUGUGAGCAUAUCCUUUUUCAUUAAAAUGACACAUCUUAGGAAAAUGUUCCCAAGUUCUGUGCAAUUAAUUGGACUUCCUAGGAUUUUGAGUAGGAAAUUUUGACUCCUAUAUAUUAACUUUAAGAAGUUAUGUUUUCUGCAAUAACUGGAU